This 41-nucleotide small RNA is filed under the name Arabidopsis thaliana (thale cress). RNAcentral's name for it is "ATSL067730". Lineage: Eukaryota; Viridiplantae; Streptophyta; Magnoliopsida; Brassicales; Brassicaceae. The record is from RNAcentral.
CAGCUUUCUCCGAUGUCUUCACCGCCUUUUCGUUUAACUUA